Molecule: long non-coding RNA, 217 nt
Filed under: Elaeis guineensis (African oil palm)
Lineage: Eukaryota; Viridiplantae; Streptophyta; Magnoliopsida; Arecales; Arecaceae
Description: long non-coding RNA (EGUI_LNC062684)
Source: RNAcentral
CUCAGUGACUUGCAAGCAACUCACUGUGCUUUGGUACUAGACUAAUUAAAUUUUUAAUUCAGUGAUGGAAGGCUUCUGGGCAUAGUCAAGUACUUGCAAAGUUAGAGUGUGAUCAAAAUGUGAUUGACCACUCCAAGAGUUGGAGAAGAAUGAGUCGCUGUAUUUCAAUUUAGCAAAAUCUUGGCCAGGGUAAUCCAUCAGAUGGAUUUGAUAUUUU